GGGGUCUUAGCUUAGCUGGUAGAGCGCUUCAUUUGCAAUGAAGAGGUCAAGGGUUCGAAUCCCUUAGACUCCA
This 73-nucleotide transfer RNA is filed under the name Candidatus Dojkabacteria bacterium. RNAcentral's name for it is "tRNA-Ala". It matches the Rfam family "tRNA". Rfam says of the family: Transfer RNA (tRNA) molecules are approximately 80 nucleotides in length. The record is from RNAcentral.